UGCGGGGCUUAAAGCUCGGCUGCUGUAACUGAGGCUGGAGAAUCAGACCUGCGUCAUGUGCGUUUUGCUGGACCUGGAGAUCGUUCCCAUUCAGCUGCGAUCUUAUGGAAGGUAGAAAAUGCUGUGAGACGGGAAAACCGGGCUUGCCUGCACUGACAAGAGUUGGGUCUGAAAGAAAUGCUGAAAAUAAAGAACUUUAUCACAAUACACACACAACAGGAAGGAUCUUUACCAGCCGUCACCAACUUCCCAGCAUCUUCUACCACUCCAGAACCGGCACAGGAGGUGAAACUCUGUAGGACUCAUGAAGAGUGGAGGACCAGCCCUGGGAAUAUUCUCCUGCAGCUCUGCCUCCCGCCAUCACCCAACUUUUCACACAUACUCCCAAAAAUUGAUGAUUUUGUUGAGGGAAGGUUACAGUUCUGCAGUAAAUAUGUCAGCAUUUUAAAACCAAAAUGAGCAGCCUUAUUUAGGAACCAACAGAUGUUUGUAC
Molecule: long non-coding RNA, 493 nt
Organism: Cololabis saira (Pacific saury)
Lineage: Eukaryota; Metazoa; Chordata; Actinopteri; Beloniformes; Belonidae
Exons: 3
Source: RefSeq, a predicted model, not a curated record